ACGUAGGUGGCAAGCGUUGUCCGGAUUUACUGGGUGUAAAGGGCGUGUAGGCGGAGAUGCAAGUCAGAAGUGAAAUCCAUGGGCUUAACCCAUGAACUGCUUUUGAAACUGUAUCCCUUGAGUAUCGGAGAGGCAGGCGGAAUUCCUAGUGUAGCGGUGAAAUGCGUAGAUAUUAGGAGGAACACCAGUGGCGAAGGCGGCCUGCUGGACGACAACUGACGCUGAGGCGCGAAAGCGUGGGGAGCAAACAG
Molecule: ribosomal RNA, 251 nt
Filed under: uncultured bacterium
Lineage: Bacteria
Description: partial 16S ribosomal RNA
Rfam family: Bacterial small subunit ribosomal RNA
Source: RNAcentral